RNAcentral lists this ribosomal RNA (2137 nucleotides) under human gut metagenome. Its description in RNAcentral is "bacterial LSU rRNA". It matches the Rfam family "Bacterial large subunit ribosomal RNA", at positions 1 to 2002 of the family's 2925-position model. The record is from RNAcentral.
UGUUGCUUGCAAGGGCGUAUGGUGGAUGCCUUGGCAGACAGGACCGAUGAAGGACGUUUGAGGCUGCGAUAUGCCUCGGGGAGCCGCCAACAGGGCUUUGAUCCGAGGAUUUCCGAAUGGGGGAACCCACCGACCGUCAUGGGUCGGUACCGGCUUCGGCCGGGGGGUACGCAGGGAAGUGAAACAUCUCAGUACCUGCAGGAAAGGAUAUUCCGUGAGUAGUGGCGAGCGAAAGCGGAUGAUGGCCAAACCUUGCGCGUGUGAUACCCGUCGGGGGUUGCGCGCGGGGUGUUGCGGGAUCGCGUGCGCCGGCUCCGACGGGCCGGCCGGCAGUUGCAGAAAACCAUGUGUCAGGGGAACCGGGUUGAAUACCGGGCCGCAGAGGGUGAGGGCCCCGUACCUGAACGCGCAUGGUCUGCCGAUCGCGUCUCCCAAGUAGCACGGGUCCCGUGGAACCCCGUGCGAAUCCGCCCAGACCGUUGGGUAAGCCUGAAUAUUCCUGUCUGACCGAUAGCGAACGAGUACCGUGAGGGAAAGGUGAAAAGUACCCCGGGAGGGGAGUGAAACAGUCUCUGAAACCGUGCGCCUACAAUCCGUCGGAGCCCUUUUGUGGGGUGACGGCGUGCCUAUCGAAAAAUGAGUCUGCGAGUCAGUGGCAUGUGGCGAGCAUAACCCGUGUGGGGUAUGCGUAGCGAAGGCGAGUCUUAAAAGGCGUUUGAGUCGCGUGUCCUGGACCCGAAGCGGGAUGAUCUAGCCCUGAGCAGGUUGAAGCGCGGGUAAGACCGCGUGGAGGACCGAACCCACCUGGGUUGAAAACCGGGGGGAUGACUUGGGGCUAGGGGUGAAAGGCCAAUCAAAUUCCGUGAUAGCUGGUUCUCUCCGAAAUGCAUUUGGGUGCAGCGUCGGGUCAUUACGUCCCGGGGGUAGAGCUACUGGAUGCUUGCGGGCCCGUAUCGGGUACCAACAGCAACCAAACUCCGAAUACCGGUGACGCGUAUCCCGGCAGUGAGUCGGCGGGGGAUAAGCUUCGUCGUCGAAAGGGAAACAGCCCAGACCGUCGUCUAAGGUCCCGAAGCGUGUGCUAAGUGGGAAAGGAUGUGGAGUCGCAUAGACAGCCAGGAGGUUGGCUCAGAAGCAGCCACCCUUGAAAGAGUGCGUAACAGCUCACUGGUCUAGUGGUUCCGCGCCGACAAUGUAGCGGGGCUCAAGCACACCACCGAAGACGCGGCAGUAUUUUGUACUGGGUAGGAGAGCGUCCCAUGAGGGGCGAAGCGGCCGUGUGAACGCGCCGUGGACUUCAUGGGAGUGAGAAUGCAGACAUGAGUAGCGAGAGACGGGUGAAGAUCCCGUCCGCUGGAUGACCAAGGGUUCCAGGGCCACGUUCAUCGUCCCUGGGUGAGUCGGGUCCUAAGGCGAGGCCGACAGGCGUAGUCGAAUGGAUGAACGGGUCGAUAUUCCCGUACCGGCUUUCAGCCGCCAAAACCGAGGCUUGGAGUACUAACCUCCGGGUCCGGGCUUACUGCUCCUUCGGGGGCGGGAUGCCCUGGCCUGUUGGGACCGAUCCUUGUAGUAGGUCAGCGCAGGAGUGACGCAGAAGGGUAGCCGGCCGCGGAGGUGGUCUUCCGUGGUCAAGCACGCAGGGCGUGGGACAGGCAAAUCCGUCCCGCAUGGGUCCGAGGUGCGAUGAUGGGGGCCUUAUGGCCCGAUAUCCGGUGAUCCCGGCUGCCGAGAAAAGCUUCGGCGUCAGGCUCAAAGCCGCCCGUACCCCAAACCGACACUGGUGGUCAGGUAGAGAAUACCAAAGCGAUCGAGCGAAUCCUGGUCAAGGAACUCGGCAAAUCACUCCCGUUCCUUCGGUUUAAGGGAGACCCCCGAUGGUGAACACACUUGCUGUGGGAGCUUUUGGGGGUGGCACAGACCAGGGGGUAGCGACUGUUUACCAAAAACACAGGUGCAUGCGAAGGCGCAAGCCGCUGUAUAUGCACUGACGCCUGCCCGGUGCCGGAAGGUUAAGAGGAUCCGUCAGCCUUCGGGUGAAGCGGUGAAUUCAAGCCCCGGUAAACGGCGGUGGUAACUAUAACCAUCCUAAGGUAGCGAAAUUCCUUGUCGGGUAAGUUCCGACCUGCACGAAUGGCGU